RNAcentral lists this unclassified non-coding RNA (294 nucleotides) under Hevea brasiliensis (rubber tree). The record is from RNAcentral. Lineage: Eukaryota; Viridiplantae; Streptophyta; Magnoliopsida; Malpighiales; Euphorbiaceae.
CAAUACUCUCUACUGUAGCUUAUAGCUGGUCACUGUAAUCACUAGCAUAUAUAAAGCGAUUGGUAUUGAGAAAUGGCUUCCAAAAGCACAGCCUCACUUGCUCUCUUUUUGGCACUCAACCUUCUCUUCUUUUCCCUAGUCUCUGCAUGUGGUGGGGGCUGCCCUUCUCCUAAGCCAAAACCAACUCCAUCACCUUCCAAUGGAAAAUGUCCUAGGGAUGCACUUAAAUUAGGCGUAUGUGCCAAUGUGCUGCGUUCAUUGCUCAAUCUCACCAUUGGAAAACCUCCAGUGGAA